AGAGAUGCCCCAAAAUAUCGAUAUAAAGAUGUAUCCACUUUUGGUAGCAGACACCAGGCAUUAUUUAUAUUUUAGGUUGGAAGAUAGCAUAUGUCGAAUAUGUUAUUUCAAGUAUAGCAUUUCUGAAGUAUAUUAUUUGAAAAAAGUCUCAUCGGGAGGGAAAUCCGAAAGUAUUAGGUUGCGACUCCAAAGCUGGUUGGAAAUGCCACCUGAUGUGAUAAGUGAAUAACCACAGCCAGAUGCACCAAAGCGCUUGAAUAAAGCAUCUUCUUGGAGUAGAUGGACCUGAAAA
RNAcentral lists this long non-coding RNA (292 nucleotides) under Vulpes vulpes (red fox). Its description in RNAcentral is "lncRNA (ENSVVUG00000029682.1)". The record is from RNAcentral. Lineage: Eukaryota; Metazoa; Chordata; Mammalia; Carnivora; Canidae.